AACGAACGCUGGCGGCGUGCCUAACACAUGCAAGUCGCGCGAGAAAAGGGAGCAAUCCCCUAGUAAAGCGGCGAACGGGUGAGUAACACGUAGGUAACCUUCCUUCGAGACCGGGACAACCUGUCGAAAGACGGGCUAAUACUGGAUAAGACCACGACUCUUUCGGGAGCAGUGGUAAAAGAUGGCCACUUCAUGAAAGCUAUCACUCAAAGAUGGGCCUGCGUACCAUUAGCUAGUUGGUAGGGUAACGGCCUACCAAGGCUACGAUGGUUAGCUGAUCUGAGAGGAUGAUCAGCCACACUGGAACUGAAACACGGUCCAGACUCCUACGGGAGGCAGCAGUGGGGAAUAUUGCGCAAUGGGGGGAAACCCUGACGCAGCAACGCCGCGUGAGUGACGAAGGCCUUCGGGUCGUAAAGCUCUGUCGGAGGGGAAGAAACUAUUUAUGGCUAAUAUCCAUAGAUAUUGACGGUACCCUCAAAGGAAGCACCGGCUAACCACGUGCCAGCCGCCGCGGUAA
This 520-nucleotide ribosomal RNA is filed under the name uncultured bacterium. RNAcentral's name for it is "partial 16S ribosomal RNA". It matches the Rfam family "Bacterial small subunit ribosomal RNA", at positions 29 to 523 of the family's 1533-position model. The record is from RNAcentral.